AGAGUUUGAUCCUGGCUCAGGACGAACGCUGGCGGCGCGCCUAACACAUGCAAGUCGAACGAGCGAGAGAGAGCUUGCUUUCUCGAGCGAGUGGCGAACGGGUGAGUAACGCGUGAGGAACCUGCCUCAAAGAGGGGGACAACAGUUGGAAACGACUGCUAAUACCGCAUAAGCCCACGGCUCGGCAUCGAGCAGAGGGAAAAGGGGCAAUCCGCUUUGAGAUGGCCUCGCGUCCGAUUAGCUAGUUGGUGAGGUAACGGCCCACCAAGGCGACGAUCGGUAGCCGGACUGAGAGGUUGAACGGCCACAUUGGGACUGAGACACGGCCCAGACUCCUACGGGAGGCAGCAGUGGGGAAUAUUGCACAAUGGGGGAAACCCUGAUGCAGCGACGCCGCGUGGAGGAAGAAGGUCUUCGGAUUGUAAACUCCUGUUGUUGAGGAAGAUAAUGACGGUACUCGACAAGGAAGUGACGGCUAACUACGUGCCAGCAGCCGCGGUAAAACGUAGGUCACAAGCGUUGUCCGGAAUUACUGGGUGUAAAGGGAGCGCAGGCGGGAAGACAAGUUGGAAGUGAAAACUAUGGGCUCAACCCAUAAAUUGCUUUCAAAACUGCUGGCCUUGAGUAGUGCAGAGGUAGGUGGAAUUCCCGGUGUAGCGGUGGAAUGCGUAGAUAUCGGGAGGAACACCAGUGGCGAAGGCGACCUACUGGGCACCAACUGACGCUGAGGCUCGAAAGCAUGGGUAGCAAACAGGAUUAGAUACCCUGGUAGUCCAUGCCGUAAACGAUGAUUACUAGGUGUUGGAGGGUUGAUCCCUUCAGUGCCGCAGUUAACACAAUAAGUAAUCCACCUGGGGAGUACGACCGCAAGGUUGAAACUCAAAGGAAUUGACGGGGGCCCGCACAAGCAGUGGAGUAUGUGGUUUAAUUCGACGCAACGCGAAGAACCUUACCAAGUCUUGACAUCCCUUGACAGGCAUAGAAAUAUGUUUUCUCUUCGGAGCAAGGAGACAGGUGGUGCAUGGUUGUCGUCAGCUCGUGUCGUGAGAUGUUGGGUUAAGUCCCGCAACGAGCGCAACCCUUAUGGUCAGUUACUACGCAAGAGGACUCUGGCCAGACUGCCGUUGACAAAACGGAGGAAGGUGGGGAUGACGUCAAAUCAUCAUGCCCUUUAUGACUUGGGCUACACACGUGCUACAAUGGCGUUAAACAAAGAGAAGCAAGACCGCGAGGUGGAGCAAAACUCAGAAACAACGUCCCAGUUCGGACUGCAGGCUGCAACUCGCCUGCACGAAGUCGGAAUUGCUAGUAAUCGUGGGUCAGCAUGCCACGGUGAAUACGUUCCCGGGCCUUGCACAAACGGCCCGUCA
This 1370-nucleotide ribosomal RNA is filed under the name uncultured bacterium. RNAcentral's name for it is "bacterial SSU rRNA". It matches the Rfam family "Bacterial small subunit ribosomal RNA". The record is from RNAcentral.